UACGGGGGGGGCAAGCGUUGUUCGGAAUUACUGGGCGUAAAGGGCUCGUAGGUGGCCAACUAAGUCAGACGUGAAAUCCCUCGGCUUAACCGGGGAACUGCGUCUGAUACUGGAUGGCUGGAGUUUGGGAGAGGGAUGCGGAAUUCCAGGUGUAGCGGUGAAAUGCGUAGAUAUCUGGAGGAACACCGGUGGCGAAGGCGACAUCCUGGACCGGUAUUGACGCUGAGGCGCGAAAGCCAGGGGAGCAAACGGG
This 253-nucleotide ribosomal RNA is filed under the name uncultured bacterium. Its description in RNAcentral is "partial 16S ribosomal RNA". It matches the Rfam family "Bacterial small subunit ribosomal RNA", at positions 524 to 776 of the family's 1533-position model. The record is from RNAcentral.